This 94-nucleotide ribosomal RNA is filed under the name Methylobacterium brachiatum. RNAcentral also lists the same sequence under 1 other name. Lineage: Bacteria; Pseudomonadati; Pseudomonadota; Alphaproteobacteria; Hyphomicrobiales; Methylobacteriaceae. The record is from RNAcentral.
CCAGAACCCGAUCCCAUCUCGAACUCGGCCGUUAAACACGCCAGCGCCCAUGGUACUGUGUCUCAAGGCACGGGAGAGUCGGUCGCCGCCAGAC